GCGUGGGUCGGCCCGCUGGGCGGGAACCAGCGGGCUGGGGGACACCGUCGCCUCAUUCCCCGCGGGCGGCGGACCGGACCGGGGGGCGAGCAGCGCCCCCCGGACCGGA
RNAcentral lists this non-coding RNA (109 nucleotides) under Streptomyces kanasensis. Its description in RNAcentral is "Streptomyces sp. ZX01 Streptomyces RNA 4115". It matches the Rfam family "Streptomyces RNA 4115". Rfam says of the family: Identified by deep sequencing of transcriptome at the end of exponential growth phase. Sequencing size consistent with notrthern blot size. Lineage: Bacteria; Bacillati; Actinomycetota; Actinomycetes; Kitasatosporales; Streptomycetaceae. The record is from Rfam by way of RNAcentral.